AACGAACGCUGGCGGCAGGCCUAACACAUGCAAGUCGAACGCCGUAGCAAUACGGAGUGGCAGACGGGUGAGUAACGCGUGGGAACAUACCCCUCGGUUCGGAAUAACUCAGGGAAACUUGAGCUAAUACCGGAUACGUCCAAGGUUUUAAUCGACCUUGGAGAAAGAUUUAUCGCCGGAGGAUUGGCCCGCGUCUGAUUAGCUUGUUGGUGAGGUAAUGGCUCACCAAGGCGACGAUCAGAGCUGGUCUGAGAGGAUGAUCAGCCACAUUGGGACUGAGACACGGCCCAAACUCCUACGGGAGGCAGCAGUGGGGAAUAUUGGACAAUGGGCGUAAGCCUGAUCCAGCCAUGCCGCGUGAGUGAUGAAGGCCUUA
This 376-nucleotide ribosomal RNA is filed under the name uncultured bacterium. Its description in RNAcentral is "bacterial SSU rRNA". It matches the Rfam family "Bacterial small subunit ribosomal RNA", at positions 29 to 419 of the family's 1533-position model. The record is from RNAcentral.